RNAcentral lists this ribosomal RNA (510 nucleotides) under uncultured bacterium. Its description in RNAcentral is "bacterial SSU rRNA". It matches the Rfam family "Bacterial small subunit ribosomal RNA", at positions 29 to 536 of the family's 1533-position model. The record is from RNAcentral.
AAUGAACGCUGGCGGCGUGCUUAACACAUGCAAGUCGAGCGAGAAAGUCCCUUCGGGGAUAAGUACAGCGGCGAACGGGUGAGUAACGCGUAAGAAUCUACCGUUUAGUGGAGAAUACCCUCGAGAAAUCGAGGUUAAUACUGCAUACGUCCCUUCGGGGAGAAAGAUGGCCUCUUUGCUAUCGCUGAAUGAGGAGCUUGCGUACUAUUAGCUAGUUGGUAGGGUAAAGGCCUACCAAGGCAAUGAUGGUUAGCCGGCCUGAGAGGGUGUACGGCCACACUGGAACUUAGACACGGUCCAGACUCCUACGGGAGGCAGCAGUGGGGAAUAUUGCACAAUGGGCGAAAGCCUGAUGCAGCGACGCCGCGUGGAGGAUGAAGGUUUUAGGAUUGUAAACUCCUGUUAAGUGGGAAGAAAAGCCUAUUCCUAAUACGGAUAGGUUAUGACGGUACCAUUAGAGAAAGCACCGGCUAACUUCGUGCCAGCAGCCGCGGUAAUACGAGGGGUGCG